Molecule: ribosomal RNA, 467 nt
Filed under: uncultured bacterium
Lineage: Bacteria
Description: bacterial SSU rRNA
Rfam family: Bacterial small subunit ribosomal RNA
Source: RNAcentral
ACCAGACUCCUACGGGAGGCAGCAGUGAGGAAUAUUGGCCAAUGGGCGAGAGCCUGAACCAGCCAAGUCGCGUGAGGGAAGACGGUCCUAUGGAUUGUAAACCUCUUUUGCCGGGGAGCAAAAAGCGGUACGUGUACCGCAUCGAGAGUACCCGGAGAACAAGCAUCGGCUAACUCCGUGCCAGCAGCCGCGGUAAUACGGGGGAUGCGAGCGUUAUCCGGAUUUAUUGGGUUUAAAGGGUGCGUAGGCGGCGCUUCAGGUCAGCGGUGAAAUACCGGGGCUCAACCCCGGGGCUGCCGUUGAAACCGGAGCGCUAGAAUUCCGAUGCCGUCGGAGGAAUGUGUGGUGUAGCGGUGAAAUGCUUAGAUAUCGCGCAGAACCCCGAUUGCGAAGGCAGCGUACCGGCUCCACACUGACGCUGAGGCACGAAAGCGUGGGUAUCGAACAGGAUUAGAUACCCCUGUACC